Engraulis encrasicolus (European anchovy) is the source of this 844-nucleotide long non-coding RNA. RefSeq lists it as uncharacterized. The record is from RefSeq and is a predicted model, not a curated record. Lineage: Eukaryota; Metazoa; Chordata; Actinopteri; Clupeiformes; Engraulidae. The transcript has 5 exons.
AAUAGAAUUACGCAUUGUUCAAGUAAUUACAUGUUCACAAUUGAAUGGACAGGAAAUAUGAAUUAUUAUUAACCAACAGAAAAAUCCACAUCAAACCGAUAGGUUGCAUCUCAGUGAUAUGUGAAUAUAAAAUAGUGAAUAUUGCAAAUUGAAAAUACUUAAUUGCCACAACUGUUUAUUCAGCGCAUGCGCUUGUUGGCCACGACACAGGGUUUCCUGUCAACAUGGGAAGGGCUGGCAGUGGCAGGCAACAUGUGUUCCAGUUCCACUCCGGUUGAAGUUUUCUCAACUUUGUUUGCAGGAUGGCCAAAUUUCGAAAAGAUAAGAGCACCACAUCUCCCAUGUUCUUCAAGCACUGUGGUUUCUCCUUAGACCAGGACAAUCUUCCCUGAGUGACACCAGGAGCUUCACCAUAGGAGACCUCAAAAGGGAGUUGUGCCUUAAAGUCACGCCUUGUAAGAUAUCAUCACAAAGCUGACCUUGUUGGGGGAAGGCUCUGGGUGACGCUGAGGACACAUUGUUGACGGAUCAUGACCUCUGACAUCCUCAGGCACCGCAAAGAUGCUGCUCUUCGAGGACUUCCAGUAUUUCUCUGUGAGGACCCCAAGGAACUUUUCAAAGAGUGCCUUGAGGCCGAUGCAGAUGGUGUGGCUCUCCAGGGUGUGGCUGUGGGCAUUCUAUAUGUUCGUGAAGACUGUGGUCCAGGUACAUCUACGCGAGUGCAAAACAUUGCCGUCAUCCUCGAGGAGAGUUGUUUUGCAAGAUAUCCCAGAUACCCCAACUGCUCUGGCAUACCUUUUUGGCUUCCUUUAUGCCCUGAAUAUCUCCUACCCAAAGGCUCUGA